UACGGAGGGUGCAAGCGUUAUCCGGAUUCACUGGGCUUAAAGGGUGCGUAGGCGGGUAGGUAAGUCCGUGGUGAAAUCCCCGAGCUUAACCCGGGAACUGCCAUGGAUACUAUCUAUCUUGAAUAUCGUGGAGGUGAGCGGAAUAUGUCAUGUAGCGGUGAAAUGCUUAGAUAUGACAUAGAACACCAAUUGCGAAGGCAGCUUGCUACACGAAUAUUGACUCUGAGGCACGAAAGCGUGGGGAUCAAACAGG
Molecule: ribosomal RNA, 253 nt
Filed under: uncultured bacterium
Lineage: Bacteria
Description: partial 16S ribosomal RNA
Rfam family: Bacterial small subunit ribosomal RNA
Source: RNAcentral